AGCAGUCGCCGCGGGAAUACGAAGGGGGCUAGCGUUGCUCGGAAUCACUGGGCGUAAAGGGUGCGUAGGCGGGUCUUUAAGUCAGGGGUGAAAUCCUGGAGCUCAACUCCAGAACUGCCUUUGAUACUGAAGAUCUUGAGUUCGGGAGAGGUGAGUGGAACUGCGAGUGUAGAGGUGAAAUUCGUAGAUAUUCGCAAGAACACCAGUGGCGAAGGCGGCUCACUGGCCCGAUACUGACGCUGAGGCACGAAAGCGUGGGGAGCAAAUGGGAUUAGAUACCCCUGUAGUCCCUGUCUCUUAUAC
Molecule: ribosomal RNA, 303 nt
Filed under: uncultured bacterium
Lineage: Bacteria
Description: partial 16S ribosomal RNA
Rfam family: Bacterial small subunit ribosomal RNA
Source: RNAcentral